Molecule: long non-coding RNA, 5794 nt
Organism: Taeniopygia guttata (zebra finch)
Lineage: Eukaryota; Metazoa; Chordata; Aves; Passeriformes; Estrildidae
Source: Ensembl
UUUUUUUUUUUUCCAUUUUAGAAAACCAUUAUGGAAUGACAAUUGGAAUCAGUAGUUUCUGAAAUGGUUUCAAAGAGGUUUACAACAGCCACUGUAUACAGUUAUAAUUCUUUUGGUAGAGAGGCACAAAAAGGACAAAAAUAAAAUUCAAGACAAUUCCAAACUCCUAACCUCUUCCUAAAAAUCAAGACUACAUUUCUGAUGACUCCUUAUUUAGUAGGUUGGGCUAGGAAUUUGCUUCUCAUGCUGUCAAAGUUGUGUGUUGUGAUAUGGAACAGGUCAUUCAAUCUAUAUCUGCUGCUCUCCUUCUCCCUUCCUUAGCUGUCUAAUUUAUACAGUGAAAUAUCAGGACAGACUACAACACUGCUGCCGACACAGCACAUUGAAAAAUGAGGCAUGAUCUUUUAAAUAUAGUAUUCAUUAUAACACUGGCACUGGAAACACUUUACUCUUUUACAAUGCAAAUAAGCAUAUCUUAGUUAUGGAGGUUACAUAUACAGAUGUCACAAAAGCACAUUUAAAGACAGGCAAAUAUAUGAAAAAACCCAGAAGAAUCUGAAUGAAGAUUAAAUUUCAUAGGGUAGAACUCUGAUCAUGAAGGACACUUUCUGCACAGUGCAUAAUGGAGGGCAGUGUAUUCAUUUCUAUUCCUCAAAUGUGUACAUUUUCAGUGUGUAUAGUUUCAGUAAUUAGAAAAGAAAUUUUGAUGUUAGAGUUUACAUAAAUAACAAAAAACAUCAAGAUGACUUUUUCUUGUGAUUUUUUUUUCUUUUUAUCUGCUUUAUAAUUUUUUAAUUUCCUUUAUAUAAUCCCAAGAUAUUAAAGUCCAAAUCACCUAGCUAUAUCACUGGCAAAAUAAGUCAUAUGUCAUGCUCAAUUUUAGAGUCAUUAGCUAUCUGUAGACACUGUCUUAUGCAGUGGAGUUAAAAAACCUAAAGAGAAAAAGACAGAAUAUAUCUGAGGGUAAAAAGCCUUUGUGGGUGUUGAUGGGAGUAUAUGGAAGAAACCAGCAAGAACAGUGGAUAAUGGAAGAUUGCUAGUGCAGGUAGUGGGCUUAUCUAUAUGACAAAUUGAUGAAGAAUGAGGAGGAAAACUAUGUUGAUUUAAUGCUGGCAAUUUGAAGCAUAGGCUGCACAGCUGUUUCAGACAGAAAUACUAAGAUAAAUUCAGAAGCAACCCCUGCUCUGACAGAUUAAUAAAAGACCAGAAAUUAUUUGAGCUUCUUAGAGGAAGGGAUCACUAAAGAGCCCUUCAAAUACCCAAGAUAUUGCACAUAAGAAUAGAACAGCUCAUCCAGCUCUUGCCUGUCUGUUAUCAAGAACAUGCUUUAAACUAAGAGUCAAGCUUUUCUAGCAGACAUGAAAAAAUACAUACUACAAGUGAAAAAGUAAAGAACAAAGUGAACACUUGCUACUGAUACAAUUUUAGGAAAAAAAGUCACUGGUAGAACCUUCAAACAGGCUACCUAAAAAAAGGCUUACCUAACAUAAAUUUUUAAAAAAGCUGUACUGGGUCUUCUGUUUCAACUUGUUUUUUAAAAUCAUUACUAGCAAUAGGUAUAUUUAUCCAGGUGAAGUAAAUAUACAGACUUUUUGCACUUCAAAAGUCAGACAAACCAACUCUAUGUAAACAUUUUCACCAGUGCUUUAAAUACACCUGUGGGCACUGAGCCCUUCAUUCUCUGGUCAAAUACAAAAGGGCUCCUUCCCCUGGGUCUGCCAGGAGUGUAUUAUGUGUCCUACAUGCUCACUGCUGGCAAUGUAAGUCUACACAGCCAUUUCAAACAUGUUUUAGCACAUUUUACUAAACAGCCAGUCACGCUGAAUUUCUGAAAGUUUGAUUUACUGGCAUUAUUGUCCAGUUCCAGGCAACCUGGCAUUAUCAGAAAGCUUAUACUGCAUCAGCAGCUUUCUACUGCUCUGAUCUAGAACCCUUUGGAAAAACUAUAUGGAUUAAUUCACAAACCAAAGGAUCAGAACUGAGCUCUAUGUUAGUAGAGAAGGUUCCUAUGAAAGAAUACUUCAGAAGUGUUAAGACUGCAAGGUAGCAUUUUAAAAAAGUAAAAAAAAAAAAAAGACCCAAAACCAAAAGUAAGUAGCUUUGGUAUCCCUCCCCUGCUCCCUCAAAAGAAUGAAAUACUUCAGUGUGAUGGCUCUCUAAUGAAUUAUUCACAAAAUGUAGGGCUUUCUUUUCCAGAGGUUACAGCAACGUCAAGUGAAAACAUGUCAGUCUGCCAAGAAACACCAAUGGUGUGGAAUAUUUCAAUGGAAGAUGACACAAUCACCCCACUAAUGAUGGAAGCUCUUUUGGUGAUGUAGGAAUUACAUUCCUACAAAUGAUGCCAGGCAUUACCAAUAAUUUUAUAUCAAAUUUUUGGAAAAUUUAAAGAUUAACAAACUCCUCUGAGCAAAUUCUAAAGCCAGGUUGUAUUUUUAAUUUAUCAGCAUUGCCUACGCUUAUUAUUUAUCACACAGUCCUCUUCCAGCACUCUCUAUAGAGAAUUAGCACGCUAAGCAGUAAUUCUAAUACUAAAAUUACCUAUGCUGUAAAAAUGCCCACCACCACAUCAUCUCAGUUCUGGAAAGAACUUCUCAAACUUCACUUCAACAGACAGUCCUAAACUGUGGGGAACGACAUGAGUCACAAAAUGUCACUUUCUCUCUGAUAUUUGGGUUAAGCCUAUUUUUCUUACAGUGCCUGUAGAUAUGGUAGAGGAAAAUGUGGUAUUUAGGAUGCUUUUUGUCAAGUUGUUGGUUCCGAUGGUCAAGAAGAAAAUUCAUUUGUCAGGAAACCUAUUGGUAAAAGAUCUGUGGGUUUUUUUACCUCUUAAAUACAAUUUAGAAAUAAAUUUAAUUUUUCUCAACAGAUUGCAAUUCACAACUUAAUUUAUGCCUAGUGCUAGUAAGGGGUCUAAAGCACUUACCUUACAGGACAAAAUUCAAAAUUCAUUCAGUGGAUUUGAUUCUUACGGGAAAGCCUUUGUAGACUCAAGAGUGUUCUUCACAAUCUCUCUCAUCCCCAAGAAGAAAGUUAAGAAAAUUUUACAGAGUUCACUUCACUUGAAAGUCAGUGGGAGGGGAGUCUCACAAAAUCACUGUGGGGAGGGGAAUCUCCACAAUCACUGUUCUGCACCUAUAUUAAGCUUUGGUGCAUUCUGUGAGACAAUUUUAGCCUAUAACUGAAAUCCAUCUUUGUGCAAAUCUUGAUCUGCCCAGUAUGCAUGAAAAUUAGUUACAGGCAAUGAAUUAAGAAUAAUUUCUAGAGUAAACCAUGCUCAGACACUUAAAAAAAAAUAAGUCUAAUACUACUUAAAGAUCCAAAUCGCACAGAAGUGUUGCAGCCCAAAGCUGGGGUAAACUGGUCCCUAAGAACACGUGGUGUCUGAGGAGCUGUGUGUGUGUGCACUGCCUGCAGUGCUGCACGCCCGCUGCCCUGUGACAGCCCCGUUCAUAGCCAAAGCUGGAAUCAGUCAGGCAUUCAUUUGCAGGUACAGCAAGGAUUUCCUUUAAAAGUAGUUACCAGGCCUCAAGGUGGGACUAAUACACCUAUAUCCAGCUGGGUCAUUAUUCCUUCUCUCUAAUCACUGUGUAUUUGCUGUCAUAUGGUCAGAUAUGAGACUUCAUAAACCAGUACCAUUCUGGCCAAGGAACUGUUGGUCGCCACCCUUCACUCCACCAAAAUGCUUGGAUCUCAUUUGCAACGGUUUUUAUUAAGCUUGUGGACUUUUUCCUACUAUGCAACCUCCAUUUCUCACCACAAUCAGCACCAAUGCCUCUGAUGAAGACAGAAUAAAAUAUUUCAUUUUUUUUAGGUCAAUACAUUUAAUCCCUGAACAGUGACUACAUGAAACAAACUCAGUAGUUUGUUUCUGAAACUGCUCACUUAAGGCUGAGUAAUUUUAUCAUGUUUAAUAUCCAGUGCAAGGUCUAGCUCUGCUUGACUUUAAUUCACCUCACUCCUAUCCUUCUCUAACUCUUUUGCAUACAUUUCUAUGCCUGUCAGUCCUUUCUGCAAUCUUUUUACAUUCUGCUAAUGUACUUUUAAUUAUGUGGCUAUUGAUCCAGUUAUAUUAUUUCUACAAUGCUUCUUUCUUUGUUCCAGGUAUUAAUGCCAGAGAGUCUUAAAGCUUUUGAAAAAGGAAGUUCCAGACCUUUUCUAUAUUUAAGUUUCAGGGCUUCUUUGGUAGAUUGAUUCACAUCUGUAGAGUAUUGAGCUUUGAAAUCCUCUGUUACAUACAGAUUUCUUUUCCUCUUGUCCUUUAAUUUUAUGUGAAUCACACAUCAUACAUCCCUCAAUCAGCACAUCUAGAAUAUCUUCAUUACUUAAAUGAAACCUUAUUGAUGAAGUGAAAAAACUGUCAGCUAUUAUCAGCAGAAAUAACCAGUGCUAUCAGCAUUUGUUCUCCAAGUUAUUCUGAAGAAGUUAAAUACUUCCAUAUGCAGGGCUGCCCACCCAUCUGGUCACAACUCCUAGUAGUACUUAAAAUCUUUAACCACGCACAGAAUGUUAAAACAUAAAAUGCUUUAAAAAGAUCCCUUUUAGUAUGCAAAUUCAACCCUAGAGACUCACAAAACUAAUGGAAUUUUUCUAUCAUUCUCUGAUUUUGAGGUGUUUUUGAUUCAAAAAACAUAGCUACACUAAAGCUAUUGAUUUCUUUAAUCUGCUUCAUAAAUUAAUGUGCAAUUCUACCUUUUGUGAUUACCACAUCAGAUUUCUCACCUGUUUUUCCACUACACACUUGUAAUCCAUCUAACAUAGAAUCAUUAAGGUUGGAAAAAACUUCUAAGAUCAAGUCCAACCUUUGACCUAAUGCACCACGCCCACUAAAGCCGAUCUCAGUGCCACAUCCCUUCACUUUUUGAAUUGUGUUUCUGCUAAUUGUCAGCUCCAUCAUCAUUGGAAAACACUUGAACUGACUUUUUCUUUUAACAGGAGGUGGGUUGGGCAGUCCAAAAAUCUGUCAUACCCCGUUUCUUGGCUUCAGACUCAUUUGUCCAUCAUGCCAACCUCAGCCCCCAGAGGCAGCUUACUGAAGCUAUUUCCUAUUUUCAGCUUCUUCAGUAUGCAGCAGUACAUACCAUUAUCUACCUUUUGAUCAACUACCACAUAAUUUGUAUCCAUUCCACUCUGCAUUGUGGUUACCUAAAAAUUGACGAAUUCAUUUUUUAAAUAGACAUAAUGUUGUUUAAAAAACAUUUGCAUUUUCGGCCAUACUUUUACUGGAUACUCAUUCCUUCAGCUUCCAUGCUGAUCUGCAUGUUACUACAUUACCUGGCUUUUUUGUACUAAAAAUUAUGAGCAAAAAAUGAUUAAAUAAUUAGAUUAUACUUUUAAAUAAAUUGCAUAAACAGGGGAUUGUGGAAACCUUUUUUCAUCUGGGUUUAAGUUCAUAACUUCCAUGUUUGCUUUUAUUGUUUCCUUUCUCCUCCUUUCCUUACUGCUAUCAGGCAUGUUUCUGGGUUCCAGUGUGCAUGUAAAGUUAAAGCAUCCUAAAACCAGUAGCAUAUUUUCAUGGAAGCCUUCAGCUAAUUUCUUGUCUUGUGAAUAAUCUGAAUCAGUUCUACUAAAGCACAGGAAUUAGGAAUCUUCUUGGGGGAUGCUCCUAAAGCCCUCAAAAGGCACACAGAUAUCAAAGGAGAUUUGUUCCUAUCUACUCAACGACUCUUUUAGAGGGAAUAGCUGGAGGCAAGAAUGGCUGCAGCACUACAUCCAAAACACUUCUGUAUUGCCUUAUCAGCACAGGGCUUCAAACAGAAUCCAUACAACUUACAGGAAAUUAUACAAAAUAUUUUUG